Molecule: ribosomal RNA, 253 nt
Filed under: uncultured bacterium
Lineage: Bacteria
Description: partial 16S ribosomal RNA
Rfam family: Bacterial small subunit ribosomal RNA
Source: RNAcentral
UACGAAGGGUGCAAGCGUUACUCGGAAUCACUGGGCGUAAAGCGUGCGUAGGCGGUUCGUUAAGUCUGCUGUGAAAGCCCUGGGCUCAACCUGGGAACUGCAGUGGAUACUGGCGGGCUAGAGUGUGAUAGAGGAUGGUGGAAUUCCCGGUGUAGCGGUGAAAUGCGUAGAGAUCGGGAGGAACACCAGUGGCGAAGGCGGCCAUCUGGAUCAACACUGACGCUGAGGCACGAAAGCGUGGGGAGCAAACAGG